RNAcentral lists this ribosomal RNA (453 nucleotides) under uncultured Latescibacterota bacterium. Its description in RNAcentral is "bacterial SSU rRNA". It matches the Rfam family "Bacterial small subunit ribosomal RNA", at positions 933 to 1382 of the family's 1533-position model. The record is from RNAcentral. Lineage: Bacteria; Pseudomonadati; Candidatus Latescibacterota.
UGGAGCAUGUGGUUUAAUUCGAUGAUACGCGAAGAACCUUUACCGGGGUUUGACAUGCAGGUGAUCGCCGUUGAAAGACGGUUUUCCUCUUCGGAGGCACCUGCACAGGUGCUGCAUGGCUGUCGUCAGCUCGUGUCGUGAGAUGUUGGGUUAAGUCCCGCAACGAGCGCAACCCUUAUCCCUAGUUGCCAUCAGGUAAAGCUGGGAACUCUGGGGAGACUGCCGGUGAUAAACCGGAGGAAGGCGGGGAUGACGUCAAGUCCUCAUGGCCCUUACAUCCCGGGCUACACACGUGCUACAAUGGCAGGUACAGAGGGCUGCGAAGCCGCGAGGUGGAGCGAAUCCCAGAAAACCUGUCUCAGUCCGGAUUGAAGUCUGCAACUCGACUUCAUGAGGGCGGAAUCGCUAGUAAUCGUAGAUCAGCAUGCUACGGUGAAUACGUUCCCGGGCCUU